UCAGUUCUAUCUUUGACCAUAUGGAACAGUGCAUAGGAAACUGUUCUUAUGUGGGCCCAUUUAAGUGGUAAAGUAAAUGGAAUAUAUUUACAUGUAAAAACCACAAGACAGCACGUUCAUUAGGAACAAAAUAUUUACACGGCAUAUCUUAUUAUAGACUCUGUUUGACACAAAUAUAGAUUCUACAAAUAUAGAAUUGGCACAAUGUUGUGAAAUAAAUAAACAAUAUUUAGCACUGUUUCUAGGUUUUGAAGCACUGACCGUGUGAAAUCCUCUGUAUAUUAAAUCAUUUAUCAUUAGAGCAAAACGUAACAAAUAUUAGGACAUCCGAAAAACCAAACCAAACUUUUAACUCAAAUUAUUAUGAUGAGAAUCAAGUUUAUAAUGACAACAAAAUCCACAACAUUGCAGCAUUGAAAUACACAUCCACGAUUUAUGCAUUUACCAAGCACAAAAUCGUACAAAUGAUAAAAUGUGAUUCAUGUAAUGCGAUCACAUGAAAUUUCCAUAUCCGAGGUAAAA
Long non-coding RNA from Rhinichthys klamathensis goyatoka, 522 nucleotides. RefSeq lists it as uncharacterized. Lineage: Eukaryota; Metazoa; Chordata; Actinopteri; Cypriniformes; Leuciscidae. The transcript is spliced from 2 exons. The record is from RefSeq and is a predicted model, not a curated record.